Molecule: ribosomal RNA, 269 nt
Filed under: uncultured bacterium
Lineage: Bacteria
Description: partial 16S ribosomal RNA
Rfam family: Bacterial small subunit ribosomal RNA
Source: RNAcentral
UACGGAGGGUGCGAGCGUUGUCCGGAAUCACUGGGCGUAAAGGGCGCGUAGGCGGCAUGCCAAGCGUGUGGUGAAAGCCCGGGGCUCAACCCCGGGUCGGCCGUGCGGACUGGCGUGCUCGAGCACUGUAGGGGCGGGUGGAAUUCCGGGUGUAGCGGUGGAAUGCGUAGAGAUCCGGAAGAACACCGGUGGCGAAGGCGGCCCGCUGGGCAGGAAGGCUCGCAAGAGCCGGCUGACGCUGAGGCGCGACAGCGUGGGGAGCGAACAGG